This 433-nucleotide ribosomal RNA is filed under the name uncultured bacterium. Its description in RNAcentral is "partial 16S ribosomal RNA". It matches the Rfam family "Bacterial small subunit ribosomal RNA", at positions 29 to 507 of the family's 1533-position model. The record is from RNAcentral.
AACGAACGCUGGCGGCAUGCCUAACACAUGCAAGUCGAACGAGAACUUCGGGUUUCGUGGCGCACGGGUGCGUUACGCGUGGGAACCUUGCCUUAGGCUUGGAAUCAAUCCCUGAAAGGGGUUCUAAUUCCGGAUAAUGUUUUCGGACAAAAGAUUUAUCCCGUUUGGAUGGGCCCGCGUGGGUUUAGCUCGUUGGAAGGGUAAAAGCCUACCCCGGCGACGAUCCAUGGCUGGUCUGAGAGGAUAAGCAGCCACACUGGGACUGAGACACGGCCCAGACUCUUACGGGAGGCGGCAGUGGGAAAUAUUGGAAAAUGGGCGAGAGCCUGAUCCAGCUAUGCCGCGUAAGUCAUGAAGGCCGGAGAGUUGUAAAGCUCUUUUACCCGGGAUGAUAAUGACAGUACCUGAAGAAUAAGCGCCGGCUAACUCCGUG